RNAcentral lists this microRNA precursor (116 nucleotides) under Myotis lucifugus (little brown bat). RNAcentral describes it as "mir-9193 microRNA precursor family". It matches the Rfam family "mir-9193 microRNA precursor family". Lineage: Eukaryota; Metazoa; Chordata; Mammalia; Chiroptera; Vespertilionidae. The record is from Rfam by way of RNAcentral.
CGUGCACCGGUGGGGUCCCUUGGCCUGGCCUGUGGGGAUCGGCUCUCCGACAUCUCCUGAGGGGUCCUGGAUUGCGAGAGGGUGCAGGCCAGGCCGAGGGACCCCACUGGUGCAUG